AGCAGGCUGGGCAUGGCUGCCCUUUGUUCCACCUUCUGCAUCAACCCACCCACCAAAGGCACCUAUUGCCACAUCUGCUGCCAGUGCCAAGAACGGUCACUUUUCUCCCAGUGUGCAGUGCUUAGUAAAGAACAUGGCACACAGAAGGCAGUGAAUAAAUGUUGAAUGAAUGAAUGAAAGGUUAAUUACCUGGGAUUGCUCUUCCUGGACUAAUGAAUUUAUAUGGACCAGGUCUUAAGAGUUAGCACUUGACUAGUUCUGCUGAUCUCAUGUCAUCCUGUUCUCCAGUACUUCCCCAGUCCCAGAUGAGCCCUUUUCCCAAAAGACAAUGUAGAUAUCUAGGGUGUUAUUUUUUCUUCUUCUGAUGAACUAGAGAGAAGAUUGGAGAAUAGGUACAUUUAGGAGGAUGGGACCUAUAGUACUUAAAAAAAAAUACUUUUGCUGGCGAGAAAACAGAGUAUAAAUAUAUAACAAUUGUUCAACAAUAUUUGUCAAAUAAAAAUUUCUAUUUGAUGCUGGA
Long non-coding RNA from Sciurus carolinensis (gray squirrel), 520 nucleotides. RefSeq lists it as uncharacterized. The transcript is spliced from 3 exons. Lineage: Eukaryota; Metazoa; Chordata; Mammalia; Rodentia; Sciuridae. The record is from RefSeq and is a predicted model, not a curated record.